This 253-nucleotide ribosomal RNA is filed under the name uncultured bacterium. RNAcentral's name for it is "partial 16S ribosomal RNA". It matches the Rfam family "Bacterial small subunit ribosomal RNA", at positions 524 to 776 of the family's 1533-position model. The record is from RNAcentral.
UACGAAGGGGGCUAGCGUUGCUCGGAAUGACUGGGCGUAAAGGGCGCGUAGGCGGAUGGCACAGUCAGAUGUGAAAUUCCCGGGCUUAACCUGGGGGCUGCAUUUGAUACGUGUGAUCUAGAGUGAGGAAGAGGGUCGUGGAAUUCCCAGUGUAGAGGUGAAAUUCGUAGAUAUUGGGAAGAACACCGGUGGCGAAGGCGGCGACCUGGGCCUUGACUGACGCUGAGGCGCGAAAGCGUGGGGAGCAAACAGG